Long non-coding RNA from Mus musculus (house mouse), 1441 nucleotides. RefSeq annotates it as predicted gene, 39789. Lineage: Eukaryota; Metazoa; Chordata; Mammalia; Rodentia; Muridae. The record is from RefSeq and is a predicted model, not a curated record. The transcript is spliced from 4 exons.
UGUGUGUGUGUGUGUGUGUGUGUGUGAGUGUGUUGUUUGGAGGGAGGUUGCAGGGUGAAGGGUGGAUAUGAGGGGGGACAGGGAGAUGAGUGGGACUGGAGUGCAUGAUGUGAAAUCCACAAAGAAUCCAUUAAAGUUUUCUUUAAAGCUAUGAAUGGGGGUGGGGAAACCAACUUCCUGAUCACUUAAACUGAUUGAUAUGUGGCUCAGUCACCGUUGGUUUUGAGUUUUGUAUAGAUGAUGCUAUAAUACACAGACUCCAGAUGUUUCUUUGGUUUUGUUUGUUUGUUUAAGACAGAUUUGAACAAUGUAGUCCAGGCUGGCCUUAAGGCCUGUCUCUGGAGUGCUGCGGUCAGACAUGAACCAGUCUGUCAGCGCUCAGUUUCUUCAUGUGUAUAUUUCAUGAUCGUGUUUACUUUGUAGGCACCUGUGUUUGUGCCGGGGUGUGCCACAGUAUAGCUAUGGAGGUCAGGGGAUAACUUUCAGGAGGUGAAGGAGUUGGCUCUCCUUCUACCACCUGAAGUCCGGGGAUCGAACUCAAGUCAUCAGGCUUGGCAGCCACCCUUUACCCAGUGAGCCAGGUCACUGGCCCUCAGUGGACGUUAAAGAAGAAACCUGUUUUUAUCAGGGCAUGGCAAUAGAUGCCUACAAUCCUAGAUCUCAGGGGGCAAAAGAGGGAUAAAUGAGGGAUCAAGGUCAUGCUUGGCCAUACUCCACCCUUAUGGCUUCCAAGACCCACCUGCAAUGGCAGUGCCCUGGCUGGGUAUUCAUUGGCUGUGUGACGUUGGUGCCUUCACUCUCCUGAUGAGCACAUCUGAGCUGUUUGCAGUUCCUCACUGGAAGGAGCUGUGCUGCAGUGAGUCUCCCUGUCUGCACAGGUCCUCAGGUGAGUGGCAGAGCCUUCCAGCAUGCCACCCGGGAGGGUGCCACCUCAGUGCCAGGACAAGGCACAGGGUCAAGUUUAUGAGACGAAACCAAAGCUUUCCACCAGCAGCACACACUCCUUCCUGUGUUGGCAGCCUUGAUGAGGCAACUAUGGAGAAAAGCAAUUGAAGCUUGAAUGCUGGGUGCUGGAGAGAUGGCUCGAUGUUUAAGAACUUUGCUGUCUGCUGCUCUUGCAGAGGACCCAUUUGGUCCCCAGCAUUCCUAUCAGAUGACACCCACUCGCUUGUACCUCUAGUUCCGGGAGAUCCAACGCCCUCUUCUGGUCUCUUCAGCACUCUGGUCAGAAGUUGCAGUGAGGUGCUGACACGGAGACCACUGGCUGGGACACCGGUCUGGUUCUGUUCUGGGGCACGGACAUUUCAGAUCAUCUAAGCUCAGCCUGUUCUCGGUGAGACGUUUUGAGAAAAGCUAUGGGCGGCAGGAUUUGUUUCCUCUUCAUCCAGCCCUUUGUUUGUUUCUUGAAUAAGUUGUAUAUUUCAAGGAAUUUGUCCAUUUU